RNAcentral lists this small nuclear RNA (107 nucleotides) under Tursiops truncatus (common bottlenose dolphin). Lineage: Eukaryota; Metazoa; Chordata; Mammalia; Artiodactyla; Delphinidae. The record is from RNAcentral.
GUGCUCACUUUGGCAGCACAUAGACUAAAAUUGGAAGGACACAGAGACGAGUCGCAUGGCCCCUGUGCAAGGAUGACAUGCAAAUUCGUGAAGCGUUCCAUAUUUAA